This is a long non-coding RNA of Nomascus leucogenys (northern white-cheeked gibbon), 2128 nucleotides long. RefSeq lists it as uncharacterized. The transcript is spliced from 2 exons. The record is from RefSeq and is a predicted model, not a curated record. Lineage: Eukaryota; Metazoa; Chordata; Mammalia; Primates; Hylobatidae.
CCCAUCAACAGAUGAAUAGAUAAAGAAAAUGUGGUAUAUAGAGAGGCUGAUUAAUGGGUACGAGCAUACAGUCAGAUAAAAACAAUAGGUUCUAGUGUUCAAUAGCAAAGUAGGGUGGCUAGAAUCAACAAUAAUUGAUUGUAUAUUUCAAAACAGGUAGAAGAAAAUAGUUGAAAUGUUCCCAGCACAAAGACACAUGUUUUAGGUGACAGAAAUUUUAAAUACUCUGAUUUGGUCAUUAGGUAUUAUAUGCAUGUAGCAAAAUAUCACCUGUGAACCAUAAAUGAGAGUAAUUAUUAUGUAUCAAUUCAAAAAGUCAACCAAAACACCGGGGAAUGAUAGGCUGGUGCUCUUACUGGUUCCUUUACAGAUUCUCAAGAUUGUCGCAGUGACUGAGCAAUGAGUGAUUGUCAAAUUGCGUGAGCUUCUCUCAGCCAUGCAGUACAGCACACGGCCUUCAUUGGAAUAGACUUGCAGGAAACCCCGGAGGAAAGGGCCUGCUGUAGCGGCAGAUGCUAGGAAAGGUCUGUUUCCAUCUUUUCGAGUGGAGGCACACACACACCUGCAUACCAUUCAGAUGGAGCCCAGCUUGGAUUGCUGACUGCAACAAAUGCCUUCCAAUAUUUUGGUUAUAGGAAAAGAGUGAGAACAAUACCAUCCACCAUAGAAAUCACACAGAAAACACAGCCAGGGAGAAAGAUUUCGAUUGUGGCUCUGCUGUGAGGACAUCAGGAAAACCCUAUAGUCACAGCUCUAGAAUAGUAAUGUGUAUAUAAAUUGUAGCAACAGUGGAAAUAAGUGAUAUCAGUCAUGUCUCCUUGUGUUUAUUUGGCAUAUUACAAUUUUCAAAGCCCAUCAUUUCGCUGGACUGGCUGUGGGGUAUUGUAACACUCCCAUCUGUAGGGAGGACCUUGGGAGCCUGUGUGGUCUACAGAGCUGCUGACGUCAAAGCCAUUCUGCAGCCAGGAAAAGCGGAGCUCAGCUAGACGUACCCGUCCACGAUCACACACUGUUGCAGCGGGGGAAGACCUGCCACAUCUUCUUUUGGCCAGUUCACCUGAGUCUGAUGCUUAUUUUCCCUGCACUAUUUACUGUGAUCAGAGAGAUCAAAAUAGACCCUGCUUUAUCAGCUCAGAAGGCCCUAAUGUUAUGAAAACAAAGUUACCUAUCUUUCGAGCGUCCAGGGUCCGACUGGCACGGCAAAUUUCUAGAUUCCUAUAGUUCUAAAAUCUCUAAUAACAAGAGCUAUCAGACCCCUCCUAACUCUGAUUUACAACCCAGAUCAUUACAGCUCUGACUGGAUAGGGGACUGGCCUUGAAAAUAUUCUUUUCUGAUAAACAACUGCACACCUUAAGCCAGUUUCAGCAGCUUACACAGGCUGACCUCUUUUGACAUAAAGAGCCAAAUUCCACCUCACUUUAAUGCUAAAACCCAGCCUCAAAGUGAACAUGGGGUAUAUGUUCCAUAUAUGCUUACCUACUGUGCAUGCACUCGGCUGCCUCAUAAAUAGGCACAGCUUCCCCCCAAAACCUGUGCAGGAGACUGUCUCUUUCUGAUUUGCAAACUGAUACCUCAAAUAAAGCUUGCCUCCCUGUUACUUAGCUAUCCUAGUGGUCUUUGAAUGACGUCACCUAGCUCCCAGGUUGCAGUUUUGACUGACAGGCCCUCUCUCCUGUUGGAGUCUGAGCUUCUGGGACGGAUGCUGGGUGUACUCAGUGCUGGCUGGCGGUGAUCAGUACAAGGACUACCACAUCAUGGGUGCCCCUUUUGUGAAAUAAAGGAACAAAUGAGAGAAAGAGCCAUGAAUAAAAGCCAGACCUUGAUUCUGCAUCCAAAUGUCUCCUCAUCAGAGAACGCUGUGUCUCUCUGAACUAUUUUACUUGGUUAUAAAAGCACAAUGGUAAGAAGCCCCUUUAUUUCUUUGCUUUUUUUUUUGUUUUCAUUUUCUUUAAAAUAGGGCUUUGCAAUUGUUGUGUAUUCCAUCUUUACAAUAUUAAAAUGCAGGGCAUUGUUUUACGGAGAGAGACAAUUACUGCUACCUGUGUUCUGUAUUGAAACCACUUAUUCCACCUUCUUGUUCUCCACCGCCAAAAAAAAAAAAAGUGCUGAGGGAGUAUGGAAUUCAGA